UACGUAGGGUGCAAGCGUUGUCCGGAAUUAUUGGGCGUAAAGAGCUCGUAGGCGGCUUGUCACGUCGGAUGUGAAAACUCGGGGCUCAACCCCGAGCCUGCAUUCGAUACGGGCUAGCUAGAGUGUUGCAGGGGAGACUGGAAUUCCUGGUGUAGCGGUGAAAUGCGCAGAUAUCGGGAGGAACACCGGUGGCGAAGGCGGGUCUCUGGGCCGAUACUGACGCUGAGGAGCGAAAGCGUGGGGAGCGAACAGG
RNAcentral lists this ribosomal RNA (253 nucleotides) under uncultured bacterium. RNAcentral's name for it is "partial 16S ribosomal RNA". It matches the Rfam family "Bacterial small subunit ribosomal RNA", at positions 524 to 776 of the family's 1533-position model. The record is from RNAcentral.